This 191-nucleotide ribosomal RNA is filed under the name uncultured bacterium. RNAcentral's name for it is "partial 16S ribosomal RNA". It matches the Rfam family "Bacterial small subunit ribosomal RNA", at positions 318 to 526 of the family's 1533-position model. The record is from RNAcentral.
GCUCCUCGCGCCAUCAGACUCCUACGGGAGGCAGCAGUGGGGAAUUUUGGCGUCAAUGGGGAAACCUGACGCAGCAACGCCGCGUGGACGGAGUGAAAUCCUUGGGAUGUAAACUCCUUUCGAUCGGGACGAUUAUGACGGUACCGGAAGAAGAAGCCCGGCUAACUUCGUGCCAGCAGCCGCGGUAAUUC